Molecule: RNA transcript, 2011 nt
Organism: Hipposideros armiger (great roundleaf bat)
Lineage: Eukaryota; Metazoa; Chordata; Mammalia; Chiroptera; Hipposideridae
Gene: CABP5
Gene name: calcium binding protein 5
Exons: 8
Source: RefSeq, a predicted model, not a curated record
GGGAGGCAGGAAGGGCUCUGAUCCCUCUCCAACCCCAGGAGAGAUUUCCAACCCAGCUGUCACAGCUCUAUGCCACGGGGACCAAGGGAGAGGCUAAGAGAGGCAGGAAGAGUUGGCAAAGAAGUGAUAGAGAAGAUAAGGAGGCUGAACCACCAAGGGGGACGGGACGGAGGGGGAGCCAUCUUGAGACUGGUGCCUGCCGAGCUCUGCCCAGACCUCCAUGCAGUUCCCCAUGGGCCCCGCCUGCAUCUUCUUGAGAAAAGGCAUCGCUGAGAAACAGAGGGAAAGACCACUGGGACAAGAUGAGAUUGAAGAGCUCCGGGAGGCAUUUCUUGAGUUCGACAAGGACCGAGAUGGGUUCAUCUCUUGUAAGGAUUUGGGGAAUCUCAUGAGGACAAUGGGUUACAUGCCCACAGAGAUGGAAUUGACUGAACUGGGGCAGCAGAUCCGCAUGAACUUGGGCGGCCGUGUAGACUUUGAUGAUUUUGUGGAGCUGAUGACCCCCAAGUUGCUUGCAGAAACGGCUGGGAUGAUCGGUGUCCAGGAGAUGCGAGAUGCCUUCAAGGAAUUUGACACCAACGGAGACGGGGCAAUCACCCUGGGAGAGUUGCAGCAGGCCAUGCAAAGGCUUCUGGGAGAGAAGCUCACCCCCGGGGAGAUCGCCGAGGUUGUCCAGGAGGCCGAUGUGAAUGGAGAUGGCACUGUUGACUUCGAAGGACAUUUCAACAGAAACUGAAUGCAGUGAGAAGAACUACAGAAGGACCAGGGAGAGGAGAACUGCAGCACGAACAAGGCACAGGGCCUGGAGUGAGCGUGGUGGGUUCAAAGAACAGAACAGUGGCUUGAGUGUAAUGAUGAGCGGCGGAGAGUGACCAAGUGAUCAAGCAAGAUGGCGAACAAGGCAUUUCCAAAAGUGAUUAGCAAAGCUUGAAAGACGUGAUGAAAAAGACGAAGCUGGUUCCUAACUCAACAUGUCAGUCUUUUUCUGAAGAGGUUUCUUCUCCCCUUGAAAAUAAGAUCAAAAGCCAGCGUUCAGGUAAUAGAUCCUGAAUUUGCGAAUUCGCCUACUCGCUCACAUUUAUUUGCAACCUCAAAUCAACACUUGUGGGGCAUCGACAGUCAUUUGUGGGCACCCGGAGUGGUGAAAACUUUGAGCCGCCCAAUGCCCACUGUUCUAGCUGAAUUCCACCAAGGCAACACUCUGCCUUCUUGUCUCAGCUCUCAUACUGGAAACGACUAGUGUUUCUAAGCUCAAGAAGACUGGGAUAGGCCUUACAGGCAAAAUGUAUUAAGUGAGCUUUGUUCACGAGUUACAGCGCUGUUGGCCAUAAGUUCAGUGUGAAUGAAUCAACAAUAUGAAUUAGAUAAUGUGUUUUUGAAUAGGUGGCCCUUAGGGGCUUAUCCUUGUGUAACAGACAAUGGUCUAAGAUGGCAUGUGGCAAUCUUUUGGCCCUAUUUUAAGUUUUGGAUAAUUUUUUGUUAACAAAGAAUAGCAAAUGUAGUUUGGGGGAGUGCGGUGAUCAGGGGAGAAGACCUAGAUAAAGGGAACUAUAACACUGGCAACGUGUCUUCACCAUUCUGCUUUGGACAAUGAUCAGGAGGUCCAAUUUUGGUAUCAUUUUGUCCAGAGACAAGGUUCUCCCUUCACACCUCCAUUUCCUUACAAGUUAUCCACUCUCUGUCCUCUCUUUAGGGUUAGGAUCUUGCAUGUAUCUGGGGCUCUUAGAUGGAGGCUUGUCCUCAGGGAUGAGUCUUAUAGAAACAGGAGUGGUUCACCCUGGAAGAUACAGUCCAUUCUUGUAAUUACAGGUAGUUAUGUUCUAGUAAGUCUCCUCAAACAUCAAAUUGGCAAAUAUGGAGCCAUUUCUCCUAGGGAAAUUGGGUUCCUGUGAGCCUCUGUUCAUAUUUUUCUCAAUCGAUCAAUAUAUCACCUUGUUUUAUGAACAGAUAGUCAAUAUUCUCUGCUUUGUGCAUCAUACAGCAUCAGUCACAAUUACUUAACUGCCAUCAU